Salmo salar (Atlantic salmon) is the source of this 629-nucleotide non-coding RNA. NCBI's taxonomy places the organism in Eukaryota, Metazoa, Chordata, Actinopteri, Salmoniformes, Salmonidae. The record is from RefSeq and is a predicted model, not a curated record.
GUGUCAUACUAUUGGUUAGACAGUUUCCCCUUUAAUGAGGUUGACAGUUAAAACUGUCUCUUACAUUAGACUGAGUCACACAGAGGCUCCAGCUGUGCAGAGAACAGACACAAACCUACAACUGAGAUAACAGCAGACUUUACAGCAGUAGAAGUUACAACAGUAGAAGUUACAACAGUAGAAGUUACAGCAGUAGAAGUUACAGCAGUAGAAGAUACAGCAGUAGAAGUUACAACAGUAGAAGUUACAACAGUAGAAGUUACUGCAUUUGAACACACGUGUGUAAAGAUGUCAGAGGAAAUCUAUGAAAACAGCGAUGGAUUUAGAGGCAAAAAAAUAAAUGAAAUAGAGACCAUGGAUUUUAAUGAUCAAAUAUACAACAACGAAAGACCCAUCAUGCCCUGCAAGAAGGAUGGAGUUGGUGAUCAACAUUCAGUGUUUUGUCAGUGGUGGAAGAGAUACUCUGGAGCUGCUGCAGUAUGUCUGGGGUUGCUGUGUGUUCUCCUACUGGCUGGGAUCAUAGGCCUGUUACUCUACCAGAGAAACCAAUUGACCAGUUACAACACCCUGACCAGAGAGAGAGACCAGCUACAGACCAGUUACAACACCCUGACCAAAGAGAGAGACCA